RNAcentral lists this long non-coding RNA (458 nucleotides) under Gossypium barbadense (sea-island cotton). RNAcentral's name for it is "long non-coding RNA (GBAR_LNC019477)". Lineage: Eukaryota; Viridiplantae; Streptophyta; Magnoliopsida; Malvales; Malvaceae. The record is from RNAcentral.
CACGCUGCGAGGAAGUAGAAGAGGAACCCAGAGAAUCCUCCGGAAAGGCCGAUUGCCCAGAAGGUUAUAAGACAGAAGCUGAGGGAAAGGACGAUUAAUGCUGGGAUUGAGAUGAAAGAGCGAGCGAGAACGUAUGAAGAACGUCGAUAAGCAUCGUAAGCAGUUUCCCUCACGAAAAUAAAUCUUUCUUUGAUGAACUCUAUGGUUUCCGUUGUGCAGGUGAAGAAACCGGUGCUUAUGGAAAUUGCUAAGCAUCCUAAUCUACCUUGGGCUCCUCUUGGGGGAAUCAUCAACCUGCCAAAACAUGGUGCCUAGUACAAGUCUGGUGAUGAUUAUCAUCGCUAACCGGAGUUUAUUACUAGCCUUUUGAGGGAGGGUGAAUCUACCAGGGAUGACCUAGAGAAGCGGUUGGCCCGACCCGACUCACACAAAAAUUUAAGGGUAAACUACUAUAAAGG